This 429-nucleotide ribosomal RNA is filed under the name Gemmatimonadota bacterium. RNAcentral's name for it is "Gemmatimonadetes bacterium partial 16S ribosomal RNA". It matches the Rfam family "Bacterial small subunit ribosomal RNA", at positions 355 to 776 of the family's 1533-position model. The record is from RNAcentral. Lineage: Bacteria; Pseudomonadati; Gemmatimonadota.
UAGGGAAUCUUCGGCAAUGGACGAAAGUCUGACCGAGCACCGCCGCGUGAGUGAAGAAGGUUUUCUGAUCGUAAAACUCUGUUGUUAGAGAAGAACAAGGACGUUAGUAACUGAACGUCCCCUGACGGUAUCUAACCAGAAAGCCACGGCUAACUACGUGCCAGCAGCCGUGGUAAUACGUAGGUGGCAAGCGUUGUCCGGAUUUAUUGGGCGUAAAGCGUGCGCAGGCGGUUUCUUAAGUCUGAUGUGAAAGCCCCCGGCUCAACCGGGGAGGGUCAUUGGAAACUGGGAGACUUGAGUGCAGAAGAGGAGAGUGGAAUUACAUGUGUAGCGGUGAAAUGCGUAGAUAUAUGGGAGAACACCAGUGGCGAAGGCGGCUCUCUGGUCUGUAACUGACGCUGAGGCUCGAAAGCGUGGGGAGCAAACAGG